RNAcentral lists this ribosomal RNA (382 nucleotides) under uncultured eukaryote. RNAcentral describes it as "partial 18S ribosomal RNA". It matches the Rfam family "Eukaryotic small subunit ribosomal RNA", at positions 592 to 976 of the family's 1831-position model. The record is from RNAcentral.
UGUAAGCGUAUACCAAAGUUGUUGCAGUUAAAACGCUCGUAGUCGGAAUUUGGCAGUUCCGGAUGUGCGCACGUCGUGUGCGCACUUCGCGGGGAUUGCUUUUGUGGUCUUGCGUAGGAUGAGGCACUUUUAUUAGUGAACGUCCUCACGCAACCACUUUUUACUGUGAGAAAAUCAGAGUGCUCAAAGCAGGCAUUUGCUGUGAAUGUAUUAGCAUGGAAUAAUAGAAUAGGACUUGGUUCUAUUUUGUUGGUUUGUUGGGACUGAGUAAUGAUUGAGAGGGACAGUUGGGGGCAUUUGUAUUUCGGUGCUAGAGGUGAAAUUCUUAGAUUACCGAAAGACAAACUGCUGCGAAAGCGUCUGCCAAGGAUGUUUUCAUUGA